GAUGAACGCUGGCGGCGUGCCUAAUACAUGCAAGUCGAGCGAACAGACGAGGAGCUUGCUCCUUCGACGUUAGCGGCGGACGGGUGAGUAACACGUAGGUAACCUACCUAUAAGACUGGGAUAACUUCGGGAAACCGGAGCUAAUACCGGAUAAUAUUUCGAACCGCAUGGUUCGAUAGUGAAAGAUGGCUUUGCUAUCACUUAUAGAUGGACCUGCGCUGCAUUAGCUAGUUGGUAAGGUAACGGCUUACCAAGGCAACGAUGCGUAGCCGACCUGAGAGGGUGAUCGGCCACACUGGAACUGAGACACGGUCCAGACUCCUACGGGAGGCAGCAGUAGGGAAUCUUCCGCAAUGGGCGAAAGCCUGACGGAGCAACGCCGCGUGAGUGAUGAAGGUCUUCGGAUCGUAAAACUCUGUUAUUAGGGAAGAACAAAUGUGUAAGUAACUGUGCACGUCUUGACGGUACCUAAUCAGAAAGCCACGGCUAACUACGUG
RNAcentral lists this ribosomal RNA (497 nucleotides) under uncultured bacterium. Its description in RNAcentral is "partial 16S ribosomal RNA". It matches the Rfam family "Bacterial small subunit ribosomal RNA", at positions 28 to 507 of the family's 1533-position model. The record is from RNAcentral.